This 468-nucleotide ribosomal RNA is filed under the name uncultured bacterium. RNAcentral describes it as "partial 16S ribosomal RNA". It matches the Rfam family "Bacterial small subunit ribosomal RNA", at positions 28 to 507 of the family's 1533-position model. The record is from RNAcentral.
GACGAACGCUGGCGGCGUGCUUAACACAUGCAAGUCGAACGGAAAGGCCCUGCUUUUGUGGGGUGCUCGAGUGGCGAACGGGUGAGUAACACGUGAGUAACCUGCCCUUGACUUUGGGAUAACUUCAGGAAACUGGGGCUAAUACCGGAUAGGAGCUCCUGCUGCAUGGUGGGGGUUGGAAAGUUUCGGCUGUUGGGGAUGGAUUCGCGGGUUAUCAGCUUGUUGGUGGGGUAGUGGUUUACGAAGGCUUUGACGGGUAGCCGGCCUGGGAGGGUGACCGGGGUCAUUGGGACUGAGAGACGGAGCAGUAUGGUACGGGACGCAGCAGUGGGGAGUAUUGCACAAUGGGCGGAAGUCUGAUGCAGCAAUGCCGCGUGCGUGAUGACGGCCUACGGGGUGAAAACCGCUGUCGCCUGUGACGAAGCGUGAGUGACGGUAAUUGGUAAAGAAGCACCGGCUAACUACGUG